Molecule: ribosomal RNA, 253 nt
Filed under: uncultured bacterium
Lineage: Bacteria
Description: partial 16S ribosomal RNA
Rfam family: Bacterial small subunit ribosomal RNA
Source: RNAcentral
UACGUAGGGAGCAAGCGUUGUCCGGAAUCAUUGGGCGUAAAGAGCGUGUAGGCGGCCCGGUAAGUCCGCCGUGAAAGUCCAGGGCUCAACCCUGGAAUGCCGGUGGAAACUGCCGGGCUGGAGUCCGGAAGAGGCGAGUGGAAUUCCUGGUGUAGCGGUGAAAUGCGCAGAUAUCAGGAGGAACACCAAUGGCGAAGGCAGCUCGCUGGGACGGUACUGACGCUGAGACGCGAAAGCGUGGGGAGCAAACAGG